CCCGGGUGACAAUCACAGUCUUACUCUCCACACGAGCCACGUCCCUCGGGUCGGUCCUGGCCAACCAGCUGCAGGAAGAGGAAGAGGAGGAAGGAGGAAAUGGAGGUAGGAAGGUAAAGAGGAGGAGGAGGAGG
This is a long non-coding RNA of Etheostoma cragini (Arkansas darter), 134 nucleotides long. RefSeq lists it as uncharacterized. The record is from RefSeq and is a predicted model, not a curated record. The transcript is spliced from 3 exons. Lineage: Eukaryota; Metazoa; Chordata; Actinopteri; Perciformes; Percidae.